CUGCACCCACUGAUAAACCGUAUGGUUCUUUUGGUUUGCACUAGGAUGCAAAAAGUCCAGGAUCCCUGUGAUUUCUGCCUGCCUUUGUGACAGCCCAGAUUGAAUUGGGGAGCACACCC
RNAcentral lists this small nucleolar RNA (119 nucleotides) under Jaculus jaculus (lesser Egyptian jerboa). RNAcentral's name for it is "Small nucleolar RNA SNORA31 (ENSJJAG00000005640.1)". It matches the Rfam family "Small nucleolar RNA SNORA31". From Rfam's summary of the family: ACA31 (SNORA31) belongs to the H/ACA class of snoRNAs which are thought to guide the sites of modification of uridines to pseudouridines. The record is from Rfam by way of RNAcentral. Lineage: Eukaryota; Metazoa; Chordata; Mammalia; Rodentia; Dipodidae.